Molecule: long non-coding RNA, 338 nt
Filed under: Vitis vinifera (wine grape)
Lineage: Eukaryota; Viridiplantae; Streptophyta; Magnoliopsida; Vitales; Vitaceae
Description: long non-coding RNA (VVIN_LNC000646)
Source: RNAcentral
CCACCCAGGCGUACGGGAGCGUGUAGCCGACCAUCGACGGGAAGGUGAAGUAGUGGAAGCCGCAGACGGCGCGGCAGAAAUCCUGCACGGCGACGUCCUCGGAGGUCAGAAUCAGGUAGAUUCCGUUCUUGUGGUCCACCGGGAACGGCGCGGCGCGGACCGCGCUAGCAAUCACCUGCUGGAUCGAGAGGCGCGUGAGCUGCGCGCCGUGUGAGUACCUCUGAUCCGCGUACUCGCCGGCGAUCAGCACCGAUCUCGACACGUUGGCGCCGGUCUGGUCAGUGUACAGAGACACCGUGCGCCACCACUCCGCGACGGAGGGGGAGGCGGCAGCUCGG